CCAAUCCCUAUUUUUCUCACUCCAACUAGCUUCUUGAUUAACUGUGCGCGUGUUUAUGUGUAGCAUUAUGUGUUUUGAUUCUGUCCGUGAAUUAGCUGUUGGUGAGUGUGUAUUCAUGAAGAAUAAAAAUAGAAGGUCGUUAAUGGUUGUUGUCGUGUUUAUGGUGUGGAAUCAGUGAGGGGAUUGUCCAUUUUUGUUUUACUGUGUUUGUAUUGUAUAUAGUGUGAAGAAGAGGAAAAUAAAGAAUUGUUUUUCUCAGUGGAUUCCCUUUUGUGUAAUUCAAAACCCCUCUUUAUUUUGUGUGUAUGUUUCUAUAUAUAUGGAGGAGGAUUAGUGUUAUCCCCUUUUUUAUCCCUAUAUUCUGUUAAAAAAAAGGGAAUAACAUGUGAUUAGGUGGGGUAAGGGGUGGUGAGGUGUCUGUUUUUAAUUGGAGAAGUUGUUAGGAUGGUUAAAACAAGAUAAA
RNAcentral lists this long non-coding RNA (463 nucleotides) under Capsicum annuum. RNAcentral describes it as "long non-coding RNA (CANN_LNC017817)". The record is from RNAcentral. Lineage: Eukaryota; Viridiplantae; Streptophyta; Magnoliopsida; Solanales; Solanaceae.